CUGGCUCAGGAUGAACGCUGGCGGCGUGCUUAACACAUGCAAGUCGAACGAAGCACCUCUAAUCGAAGAUUGAGAAGCUUGCUUUGAUUGAUUCACCUUGAGGUGACUGAGUGGCGGACGGGUGAGUAACGCGUGGGUAACCUACCCUAUACAGGGGGAUAACAGUUGGAAACGACUGCUAAUACCGCAUAAGCGCACAGGACCGCAUGGUCUAGUGUGAAAAAACUCCGGUGGUAUAGGAUGGACCCGCGUCUGAUUAGCUAGUUGGUGAGGUAACGGCUCACCAAGGCGACGAUCAGUAGCCGACCUGAGAGGGUGACCGGCCACAUUGGGACUGAGACACGGCCCAAACUCCUACGGGAGGCAGCAGUGGGGAAUAUUGCACAAUGGGCGAAAGCCUGAUGCAGCGACGCCGCGUGAACGAAGAAGUAUUUCGGUAUGUAAAGUUCUAUCAGCAGGGAAGAAAAAUGACGGUACCUGACUAAGAAGCUCCGGCUAAAUACGUGCCAGCAGCCGC
Molecule: ribosomal RNA, 517 nt
Filed under: uncultured bacterium
Lineage: Bacteria
Description: bacterial SSU rRNA
Rfam family: Bacterial small subunit ribosomal RNA
Source: RNAcentral